Molecule: small RNA, 838 nt
Filed under: Arabidopsis thaliana (thale cress)
Lineage: Eukaryota; Viridiplantae; Streptophyta; Magnoliopsida; Brassicales; Brassicaceae
Description: ATSL088350
Source: RNAcentral
AUUAAUCUAUUCAGGCGGUUGACAAAACUUCACAGAAGCUAUCCCUAGACAACAAGUUCAACAACAGAUUAAUUCACUCCCGUGAUAGAAAUCCUCAAGCAAAGCUAAACACUGACCUAAAUCCCUUUAGCGAUCUCUAACUAAGCAGGCAUUAUCGAAUCAACAUGUUAAAGUCAAUACCCUCUCUAAAGCCAAUCCCUUGGGGUAGAGUCAGAUAUCUCUGGAAUUAAUAGGAUCCAACGCCCAUUAAACGUCUUCUAAGCGCUGGACGUCUGGACUCAUACUCCACAUUAGCCAGUGAAAUAAGCAAUAAGCGCAACUAAUCCAGAAGGGAUUCUAGUUUUCUAAACUCAACCACCUAAAACGACCAAGUAAACCACAACUAUUCUAUCCCAUCCUCAGAAAUACAGUUCACUACUCAGACAUAAUCAAAGACAAUAACAAAGCAACAAUUGAAAACAUGAUAACAGAAAUGACGAAAGACUUAAACGAAAACUGAAUAUCAAAUACUUGAAAACGAAACUACAAAGUCGCAGAAAAAACACUGCAGCUAUCAAAGUUGCGAAAAUGUAAAAGCGAGAUAAAAACGGAUAAUAGCGGAUAAUAGCCGACGCCCUAGGGAAAACCCUAAGAGGCAGUUUAUAUAAGCGAGAAAUAAAACAAAUAAGGAAACUAAAUAUAUAGCGAAUCUUCACGUCAUGAUCCUGCGACCGAAUAUGUCAUUGGCAUCUAACGGGCAGAAAUGAGCUUCCUAGUGAUCGAAUAUGUCAUUGAUCAAACUGGGCUUCAGGGGCUCCGUCUUGCGAAAUGUAGUGAAGUCGAGAUUGAAUGGUCCAAC